Molecule: ribosomal RNA, 494 nt
Filed under: uncultured bacterium
Lineage: Bacteria
Description: bacterial SSU rRNA
Rfam family: Bacterial small subunit ribosomal RNA
Source: RNAcentral
GGCGUCAGGAGUGAACGCUAGCGGCAGGCUUAAUACAUGCAAGUCGUGGGGCAGCAUGAGUAGCAAUACUUGAUGGCGACCGGCAAACGGGUGAGGAACACGUACACAACCUUCCUUCAAGCGGGGAAUAGCCCAGAGAAAUUUGGAUUAAUACCCCAUAAUAUAUUUGAUAAGGCAUCUUAUUAAUAUUAAAGCUUCGGCACUUGAUGAUGGGUGUGCGGCUGAUUAGAUAGUUGGCGGGGUAACGGCCCACCAAGUCUACGAUCAGUAGCUGAUGUGAGAGCAUGAUCAGCCACACGGGCACUGAGACACGGGCCCGACUCCUACGGGAGGCAGCAGUAAGGAAUAUUGGACAAUGGACGAAAGUCUGAUCCAGCCAUGCCGCGUGAAGGAUUAAGGUCCUCUGGAUUGUAAACUUCUUUUAUAUGGGACGAAAAAAGGGCAUUCUUGUUCACUUGACGGUACCAUAUGAAUAAGCACCGGCUAACUCCGUG